CGUGUGUCGCCGCCCCACGCCCGGCUACCGCAUGCACCAGCCACACCGCAGGUCGCCGCUCACGGCAACUACGCACACACACGCAGCAGCCACCGUCGCCCCGCGAGCUUCGCCUGGCCGCGCACUGCCGCAACCACACGUGAGCUUUUCUGACACCCACCGCCCACGGUCGACCUGCGAACCACACACGCACCGUCGCGAAGUGUUGAUUGAUCCCCUCCAUGGCCUCGUGCUCGCCGUCACAGCUCGUCGCCCUGGGGACGGAGAGGGGCAAGAUCCGUGGAGCUGCGCAUGGGGUCAGCAUAUCGUCCUCCUGCUCCUCAAUUCUGGUCGGGUAUCGUUUGGUCCGUGCGGCAGAGAUGGUGAAUUCCUCCUUGGGUGCCCCAGGGUGGUGCGGCCUUAUAUUUCAAGAAAUAAAAUCUUAUGGUUACAUGCUAUCAGUUAAGGUGAAUCCGUGAAAGGCCGCUUGAAUUGUAUGCCUCGCUCAGCAGCAUACUACUGCUCCUGCGCAUGCAGAUGGCGCAACAGCAGGCUGCGCGAGCACACACGCAGGCAGCAAGGUGCAUAGACAAGAGAGGGAUGA
Long non-coding RNA from Triticum aestivum (bread wheat), 583 nucleotides. RefSeq lists it as uncharacterized. The transcript is spliced from 3 exons. The record is from RefSeq and is a predicted model, not a curated record. NCBI's taxonomy places the organism in Eukaryota, Viridiplantae, Streptophyta, Magnoliopsida, Poales, Poaceae.